GAACUCGAGAGCGGGCGCGGUCAGGCCCGGCGCAUCCAGACGCGGUUGUCGUGGAAU
This 57-nucleotide small RNA is filed under the name Sinorhizobium meliloti 2011. Its description in RNAcentral is "putative ncRNA". The record is from RNAcentral. Lineage: Bacteria; Pseudomonadati; Pseudomonadota; Alphaproteobacteria; Hyphomicrobiales; Rhizobiaceae.